CAGGCCUAACACAUGCAAGUCGAACGAAGGCUUCGGCCUUAGUGGCGCACGGGUGCGUAACGCGUGGGAAUCUGCCCCUCGGUUCGGAAUAACAGUUAGAAAUGACUGCUAAUACCGGAUGAUGACGUAAGUCCAAAGAUUUAUCGCCGAGGGAUGAGCCCGCGUAGGAUUAGCUAGUUGGUGUGGUAAAGGCGCACCAAGGCGACGAUCCUUAGCUGGUCUGAGAGGAUGAUCAGCCACACUGGGACUGAGACACGGCCCAGACUCCUACGGGAGGCAGCAGUGGGGAAUAUUGGACAAUGGGCGAAAGCCUGAUCCAGCAAUGCCGCGUGAGUGAUGAAGGCCUUAGGGUUGUAAAGCUCUUUUACCCGGGAUGAUAAUGACAGUACCGGGAGAAUAAGCCCCGGCUAACUCCGUGCCAGCAGCCGCGGUAAU
RNAcentral lists this ribosomal RNA (435 nucleotides) under uncultured bacterium. RNAcentral describes it as "bacterial SSU rRNA". It matches the Rfam family "Bacterial small subunit ribosomal RNA", at positions 43 to 524 of the family's 1533-position model. The record is from RNAcentral.